RNAcentral lists this ribosomal RNA (249 nucleotides) under uncultured bacterium. RNAcentral's name for it is "partial 16S ribosomal RNA". It matches the Rfam family "Bacterial small subunit ribosomal RNA", at positions 524 to 776 of the family's 1533-position model. The record is from RNAcentral.
UACGGAGGGUGCAAGCGUUAAUCGGAAUUACUGGGCGUAAAGCGUGCGCAGGCGGUUAUAUAAGACAGUUGUGAAAUCCCCGGGCUCAACCUGGGAACUGCAUCUGUGACUGUAUAGCUAGAGUACGGUAGAGGGGAUGGAAUUCCGCGUGUAGCAGUGAAAUGCGUAGAUAUGCGGAGGAACACCGAUGGCGAAGGCAAUCCCUGGACCUGUACUGACGCUCAUGCACGAAAGCGUGGGAGCAACAGG